GUCCAGACUCCUACGGGAGGCAGCAGUGGGGAAUAUUGCACAAUGGGGGAAACCCUGAUGCAGCGACGCCGCGUGAGCGAUGAAGUAUUUCGGUAUGUAAAGCUCUAUCAGCAGGGAAGAAAAUGACGGUACCUGACUAAGAAGCCCCGGCUAACUACGUGCCAGCAGCCGCGGUAAUACGUAGGGGGCAAGCGUUAUCCGGAUUUACUGGGUGUAAAGGGAGCGUAGACGGCUGUGCAAGCCAGAUGUGAAAGCCCGGGGCUCAACCCCGGGACUGCAUUUGGAACUGUGUGGCUGGAGUGUCGGAGAGGCAGGCGGAAUUCCUAGUGUAGCGGUGAAAUGCGUAGAUAUUAGGAGGAACACCAGUGGCGAAGGCGGCCUGCUGGACGAUGACUGACGUUGAGGCUCGAAAGCGUGGGGAGCAAACAGGAUUAGAUACCCCGGUAAG
This 448-nucleotide ribosomal RNA is filed under the name uncultured bacterium. RNAcentral describes it as "partial 16S ribosomal RNA". It matches the Rfam family "Bacterial small subunit ribosomal RNA", at positions 329 to 793 of the family's 1533-position model. The record is from RNAcentral.